CCUACGGGCGGCAGCAGUGGGGAAUUUUGCGCAAUGCUCGUAAGAGUGACGCAGCGACGCCGCGUGAAUGACGAAGGCCCUCGGGUCGUAAAGUUCUUUCGACAGGGAAGAAAAUGCCUAUAAGUAACUGUGUAUGUAUUGACGGUAGCUGUAUAAGCAGCUCCGGCUUACUCCGUGCCAGCAGCCGCGGUAAGACGGAGGGGGCGAGCGUUGUUCGGAGUGACUGGGCGUAAAGAGCACGUAGGCGGGGUUGUAAGCCAUUAGUCAAAGACUAGAGCCCAACUUUCGUCAAGCUAGUGAUACUAUAAUACUAGAGUGUGAGAGAGGAAUGCAGAAUUCCUGGUGUAGCGGUGAAAUGCGUAGAUAUCAGGAGGAAUACCGUUAGCGAAGGCGGCAUUCUGGCUGGAAACUGACGCUGAGGUGCGAAAGCGUGGGUAGCAAACAGGAUUAGAUACCCGGGUAGUC
This 465-nucleotide ribosomal RNA is filed under the name uncultured bacterium. Its description in RNAcentral is "partial 16S ribosomal RNA". It matches the Rfam family "Bacterial small subunit ribosomal RNA", at positions 338 to 795 of the family's 1533-position model. The record is from RNAcentral.